AGCUAAUAGAUACCCGGGUAGUCCACGCCCUAAACGAUGUCUACUAGUUGUUGGUGGAGUAAAAUCCAUGAGUAAACGCAGCUAAACGCGUGAAGUAGACCGCCUGGGGAGUACGGUCGCAAGAUUAGAACUCAAAGGAAUUGACGGGGGCCGCACAAGCGGUGGAUUAUGUGGAUUAAUUCGAUGCAACGCGAAAACCUUACCUGGCCUUGACAUGCCACUAACGAAGCAGAGAUGCAUUAGGUGCCCGUAACGGGAAAGUGGACACAGGUGCUGCAUGGCUGUCGUCAGCUCGUGUCGUGAGAUGUUGGGUUAAGUCCCGCAACGAGCGCAACCCUUGCCAUUAAUUGCCAUCAUUUAGUUGGGCACUUUAAUGGGACUGCCGGUGACAAACCGGAGGAAGGUGGGGAUGACGUCAAGUCCUCAUGGCCCUUAUGGCCAGGGGCUUCACACGUAAUACAAUGGUCGGUACAGAGAGUUGCCAACCCGCGAGGGGAGCUAAUCUCAGAAAGCCGAUCGUAGUCCGGAUUGUUCU
This 535-nucleotide ribosomal RNA is filed under the name uncultured bacterium. RNAcentral describes it as "bacterial SSU rRNA". It matches the Rfam family "Bacterial small subunit ribosomal RNA", at positions 767 to 1304 of the family's 1533-position model. The record is from RNAcentral.